This is a long non-coding RNA of Alosa sapidissima (American shad), 1134 nucleotides long. RefSeq lists it as uncharacterized. The transcript has 4 exons. The record is from RefSeq and is a predicted model, not a curated record. NCBI's taxonomy places the organism in Eukaryota, Metazoa, Chordata, Actinopteri, Clupeiformes, Clupeidae.
UCCCGUCCGAAGACAGCCUGGUCCCAGAUACGACCUUGGGGUCCACAGGCUGUCCUCAGUCACUUGGAGUCCUCCCACCUGCAACGGACCACUCAGGCCCUAGUUCUCUGGGUCAGCGCCGUACCAUGCACUCUACGGCAGGUCAGCACUCUAACCCUCACAAUCUCCCCCGUUCGGUGGGCCUACGUGAUGACGUGACCGCGGCUAUGCAAAGUCUGGGCCCCACCACUCAGUCAUGUUAAUUUAAGCCUGAGUACUAAAUGCCAGGGUUCGCCUCUUUUGGCUAAUCUGUCAUUGGGACGACGACAAUAAAUGGGGGGGUGGAUUGUAGCAGGAUACACCCCCCUCUGGUGGUGUUUUCCUAAUAUUAUCCGUUGAAUGGACAGGUGGGUAAUUAUAGGCCCAGUGCUAUUUAAGGAAGUCAGCCCUCCUGAUUGUAUGUCUUCCACCUUUCCCUGGAGGAGGGACUUCCUGGUCAGUGUUGUUGGACGUGGGUCCCGUGUGUGUACCAUUACUGCCAGCAGCAGCUCCGUUGUGCUUUAACCCGGUGUGGAUUCAUAGUGAAUGUUGCCAUCCGGAUUUGGGUGUGAGAACCUUAUCGGCUCAGCUUGGCGUGAGCAGUGUUAGCCGCACAGGCGUUAUCUCGCCACCGGUAGUGGGAGACGGAACCAUCAGCAAUCGAUUGGCAGAAGCAUCGGCGGUGUUCGUGCUGGCCUUUGGCCUGUUUCCGCAACCGAUGAGUUUGCUGCUUUGUCUCCACUGUUUGUUUAUUUAAUUUAUGUUCAAUUACCUUCCGAGGGGGCCUGUCAGUCUGACGACCAUUCGCCGCCUCUUCAUCUGUAUCUCCUCGCAGUGCAUGACCGGGCUUGUGUUUGUAACGUUGGGUUCUCGGCUCUGUUAAUAGCCUAACGAUUAUCGUGUUGCAUGAUCUGUGCAUGUCUAUGCAUGUAUGCAUGUGGAGUGUUAACUGGGCCCUGGUUAGUGCAAGUCCUGUGUGCGUUUAUGUUGGUGUGUGUGUGUGCCUACGUGUGAGUUUGUGCAUGCGUGUGUGUGUGUACUGGUGCAUGCUGGUGUAUGUGGGGUUAGCCUACCUGUAUGUACAGUACGCUGGUGUGUGGUGAAUGUGCUUGUCUG